GUGGGGAAUUUUGGACAAUGGGCGAAAGCCUGAUCCAGCCAUGCCGCGUGCAGGAUGAAGGCCUUCGGGUUGUAAACUGCUUUUGUACGGAACGAAAAGACUCCUUCUAAUAAAGGGGGUCCAUGACGGUACCGUAAGAAUAAGCACCGGCUAACUACGUGCCAGCAGCCGCGGUAAUACGUAGGGUGCAAGCGUUAAUCGGAAUUACUGGGCGUAAAGCGUGCGCAGGCGGUUAUAUAAGACAGAUGUGAAAUCCCCGGGCUCAACCUGGGAACUGCAAUUGUGACUGUAUAGCUAGAGUACGGUAGAGGGGGAUGGAAUUCCGCGUGUAGCAGUGAAAUGCGUAGAUAUGCGGAGGAACACCGAUGGCGAAGGCAAUCCCCUGGACCUGUACUGACGCUCAUGCACGAAAGCGUGGGGAGCAAACAGGAUUAGAAACCCGUGUAGUCC
This 450-nucleotide ribosomal RNA is filed under the name uncultured bacterium. RNAcentral's name for it is "partial 16S ribosomal RNA". It matches the Rfam family "Bacterial small subunit ribosomal RNA", at positions 354 to 796 of the family's 1533-position model. The record is from RNAcentral.